ACGCUCGACACCUACGGGGGGCAGCAGUCGGGAAUAUUGCGCAAUGGAGGAAACUCUGACGCAGUGACGCCGCGUAUAGGAAGAAGGUCUUCGGAUUGUAAACUAUUGUCGUUAGGGAAGAAAAAGGACAGUACCUAAGGAGGAAGCUCCGGCUAACUACGUGCUAGCAGCCGCGGUAAUCUGAGCGGGCUGGCAAGGC
This 199-nucleotide ribosomal RNA is filed under the name uncultured bacterium. Its description in RNAcentral is "partial 16S ribosomal RNA". It matches the Rfam family "Bacterial small subunit ribosomal RNA", at positions 328 to 539 of the family's 1533-position model. The record is from RNAcentral.